CUGCGGUCCCCGCCGCGACCUGAUUCCCGCCCUGCCCGGGGAGCUAACCCAGCCGCCUCCGGGGCGCCCUCCUUCUUCCUGGAUUCCCACGGCUGGACCAGAGCCCCUCUGGCAGCCGGGUUAAAGGCUCCUUCAGCAAGGUCAAGGCGCGGCCGGCUGGCACCUGGGGAUUUUUUUCCAGCCGAGCACUGGCUUUUCAAUCGCAUUGUUAAGGAUCAUGGCAGCGGCAGGAAAUCCGAAGGGCCCCACAGCCCAUCAACGUGAUACACAGGCUGCGGCGCUGGAGGGAAGCGGCGAAACGGGGAGAAUAAACGCAACAGAAGCAAACUGCUGUCUGCAGAGGCGAGAGGCGAAGGAACGGAAGCCAUACCCGACCCCAGCCCCAUCCCGUCCCCAUCAGCGCCGGGCUAGCGCAGGAAACCAGGAAUAGGUGUAGGCCUUCCAACACCUCCGAGGGAAGACUUGGAGCUCUGAAGACCCAAUGAAACCUCAGUUCUGACUGACUCCUCCUCUGCGAUCAAUUCCGGAUGCCCCCACUUAGUCCCUGCCUCGGUAACCGGUUCUUUGGGGACAGCAGCAUCAGCACCCGACGCCCAUCGCACAAGUGGGCGCCGUGGUGCGAGGCGUAUCCUAGCUACCCAGGCCGGGGUGGGGGCG
RNAcentral lists this long non-coding RNA (657 nucleotides) under Homo sapiens (human). Its description in RNAcentral is "HSALNT0364037". The record is from RNAcentral. Lineage: Eukaryota; Metazoa; Chordata; Mammalia; Primates; Hominidae.